UGGGGAAUAUUGCACAAUGGGCGAAAGCCUGAUGCAGCGACGCCGCGUGAGGGAUGACGGCCUUCGGGUUGUAAACCUCUUUCAGCAGGGAAGAAGCGAAAGUGACGGUACCUGCAGAAGAAGCGCCGGCUAACUACGUGCCAGCAGCCGCGGUAAUACGUAGGGCGCAAGCGUUGUCCGGAAUUAUUGGGCGUAAAGAGCUCGUAGGCGGUUAGUCGCGUCUGCUGAACUGAACUCGNGCAUCACUCGGGCUUGCAGUGGGUACGGGCUGACUAGAGUGCGGUAGGGGUGACUGGAAUUCCUGGUGUAGCGGUGGAAUGCGCAGAUAUCAGGAGGAACACCGAUGGCGAAGGCAGGUCACUGGGCCGCAACUGACGCUGAGGAGCGAAAGCAUGGGGAGCGAACAGGAUUAGAUACCCUGGUAGUCCAUGCCGUAAACGUUGGGCACUAGGUGUGGGGUCCAUUCCACGGAUUCCGUGCCGCAGCAAACGCAUUAAGUGCCCCGCC
RNAcentral lists this ribosomal RNA (507 nucleotides) under uncultured bacterium. Its description in RNAcentral is "partial 16S ribosomal RNA". It matches the Rfam family "Bacterial small subunit ribosomal RNA", at positions 355 to 873 of the family's 1533-position model. The record is from RNAcentral.